RNAcentral lists this ribosomal RNA (464 nucleotides) under uncultured Klebsiella sp. RNAcentral describes it as "bacterial SSU rRNA". It matches the Rfam family "Bacterial small subunit ribosomal RNA", at positions 338 to 795 of the family's 1533-position model. The record is from RNAcentral. Lineage: Bacteria; Pseudomonadati; Pseudomonadota; Gammaproteobacteria; Enterobacterales; Enterobacteriaceae.
CCUAGGGGGGCUGCAGUGGGGAAUAUUGCACCAUGGGCGCAAGCCUGAUGCAGCCAUGCCGCGUGUGUGAAGAAGGCCUUCGGGUUGUAAAGCACUUUCAGCGGGGAGGAAGGCGUUAAGGUUAAUAACCUUGGCGAUUGACGUUACCCGCAGAAGAAGCUCCGGCUAACUCCGUGCCAGCAGCCGCGGUAAUACGGAGGGUGCAAGCGUUAAUCGGAAUUACUGGGUGUAAAGCGCACGCAGGCGGUCUGUCAAGUCGGAUGUGAAAUCCCCGGGCUCAACCUGGGAACUGCAUUCGAAACUGGCAGGCUAGAGUCUUGUAGAGGGGGGUAGAAUUCCAGGUGUAGCGGUGAAAUGCGUAGAGAUCUGGAGGAAUACCGGUGGCGAAGGCGGCCCCCUGGACAAAGACUGACGCUCAGGUGCGAAAGCGUGGGGAGCAAACAGGAUUAGAUACCCGAGUAGUC